Long non-coding RNA from Girardinichthys multiradiatus, 766 nucleotides. RefSeq lists it as uncharacterized. The transcript is spliced from 2 exons. Lineage: Eukaryota; Metazoa; Chordata; Actinopteri; Cyprinodontiformes; Goodeidae. The record is from RefSeq and is a predicted model, not a curated record.
GCAUCAUAAAGGACUGCAGAGCAUCCCGUCCUUUAGCCAGGAAGAUGACCUGGAAUAAACAACCAGCAACUAAACUCAAUAUAUCAACUUUCAGCUUCCAAAGGGUUCAAGCUAGACCUAAGAUGAUUUUACAGAUGCCCCACACAAACAGAAGGAGGAUUUAUCAGAGUAAAUAACCUCCACUGUCCAUCCAGAACUGAGGUUUGUCUUGUUGUGUUCUUGCCAUUUCGUGGCUUUACCCGUGAAGUUAAUACGACAAUACUGAAAUUAAGUUAGCCGAUCGUUUUGUGGCAGUAUAAAAAAAUACAAUCAAAAUGUUUUGUAAGUUAAGGUAAACUUUUGAAGCAAAUGAAGCUCCCCUUUUGGCCUUGCCUGCACUAUGAGCAGAAGAUCUGACAUUAAAAGAAGAUUCUAUGGGAUUUUAUAAAAAGUGUUAAUGGAAAUCAAUGAAACCAUUUUCCAAAUAAAAGUGUAACUUAAAGCCACCAAUACAGGCACAAAACAUUCUAGAAAUUUUCCAUUUUAAAAUAUAUUCGUUCCAGACUCAAAUUUGUAGAUUUUUCUUGCUUGCUUUUUUUAUUUUUUAUUAUUAUUUGUAUGCAUGCUCAUACAACAACACAAUGCCGACGUUCGCUGCUGAUUAAACAGUGUGUUAGAGGGCUAGUUCACUACUGUUUCAGCAUCUGGAUCAACUUAGAUCAGGAACAUUUAGAAUUGUACUUUCUGGAUUGGAUUUUUCUGCAAUAAAUAAAAAUUAUUUAAUGCA